This 473-nucleotide ribosomal RNA is filed under the name Prevotella nigrescens. Its description in RNAcentral is "bacterial SSU rRNA". It matches the Rfam family "Bacterial small subunit ribosomal RNA", at positions 28 to 487 of the family's 1533-position model. The record is from RNAcentral. Lineage: Bacteria; Pseudomonadati; Bacteroidota; Bacteroidia; Bacteroidales; Prevotellaceae.
GAUGAACGCUGGCUACAGGCUUAACACAUGCAAGUCGUGGGGAAACGGCAUUAUGUGCUUGCACAUUCUGGACGUCGACCGGCGCACGGGUGAGUAUCGCGUAUCCAACCUGCCCCUUUACUUGGGGAUACCCCGUCGAAAGACGGCCUAAUACCCGAUGUGUUUCAUUGACGGCAUCCGAUAUGAAACAAAGGUUUUCCGGUAAGGGAUGGGGAUGCGUCUGAUUAGCUUGUUGGCGGGGCAACGGCCCACCAAGGCGACGAUCAGUAGGGGUUCUGAGAGGAAGGUCCCCCACAUUGGAACUGAGACACGGUCCAAACUCCUACGGGAGGCAGCAGUGAGGAAUAUUGGUCAAUGGACGCAAGUCUGAACCAGCCAAGUAGCGUGCAGGAUGACGGCCCUAUGGGUUGUAAACUGCUUUUAUGUGGGAAUAAAGUGGCGCACGUGUGCGCCGUUGCAUGUACCUCAUGAAU